GAUUGGCCGGGCCCGCGCCCGGGGAGCCCCGCAUUCUGCAGUGUCCGAAAGAUUCGAAACUCCAAAAGCUCCACUGCGUGCCUCUGGGAGGGGAGGGGGCGCGCCAGGAAAGGAGUGGAAAAAAGUGGGCGAGGAGGAGCGUUGAAAAUUUCCUGACAAGUAGUUUCCGUGCGCCCGAGAGCGUGUGAAUUGCUCCUAAUUACCGUGUCCGGUGCGCCUCUCUGCGUAGACUUGUGUAACCUCUCGGCUUCUGGGGCGCCGGCUCGGCUGCACCGCUCUUACUGGCCUGGGGCGCUUGGCAAAGCCGAGCUUCCCAAGUGGCUCUGGAGCCCUGAGGCGGGAUGGGGGGCAGAUUCUCUUAAACUCAGGACGCGCAUCGGUCUGUCCGACCUUCCCGGCAAGAGACAAAGUCACUGCUGGGAGGCCCCCUCGGACAGUUUUCAGUUUUAACUUUCGCCUUAUUCUCGUCUUGUCUUGAUGUCACGGCCCUGAGGAACAGCUCGUUCUGCAGAAGAGAAUAAAGAAAAUUCGUUUAAAUAAUGAGGAAAA
Long non-coding RNA from Homo sapiens (human), 549 nucleotides. RefSeq lists it as uncharacterized. The transcript has 3 exons. The record is from RefSeq and is a predicted model, not a curated record. Lineage: Eukaryota; Metazoa; Chordata; Mammalia; Primates; Hominidae.